GCCUGAUGCAGCCAUGCCGCGUGUGUGAAGAAGGUCUUCGGAUUGUAAAGCACUUUCAGUUGGGAGGAAGGGUAGUAGCUUAAUACGUUGGUGUUUUGACGUUACCGACAGAAUAAGCACCGGCUAACUCUGUGCCAGCAGCCGCGGUAAUA
Molecule: ribosomal RNA, 152 nt
Filed under: uncultured Pseudomonas sp.
Lineage: Bacteria; Pseudomonadati; Pseudomonadota; Gammaproteobacteria; Pseudomonadales; Pseudomonadaceae
Description: partial 16S ribosomal RNA
Rfam family: Bacterial small subunit ribosomal RNA
Source: RNAcentral